CGGGUGAGUAACGCGUAUCCAACCUGCCUUACACUCUUGGACAGCCUUCUGAAAGGGAGAUUAAUACAAGAUGUUAUCAUGAGUAAGCAUUUUCGCAUGAUUAAAGGUUUACCGGUGUAAGAUGGGGAUGCGUUCCAUUAGAUAGUAGGCGGGGUAACGGCCCACCUACUCUUCGAUGGAUAGGGGUUCUGAGAAGAAGGUCCCCCACAUUGGAACUGAGACACGGUCCAAACUCCUACGGGAGGCAGCAGUGAGGAAUAUUGGUCAAUGGACGAGAGUCUGAACCAGCCAAGUAGCGUGAAGGAUGAAGGUUCUAUGGAUUGUAAACUUCUUUUAUACUGGAAUAAACGAAUCCACGCGUGGAUUUUUGCAUGUACCGUAUGAAUAAGGAUCGGCUAACUCCGUGCCAGCACCCGCGGUAAUACGGAGGAUCCGAGCGUUAUCCGGAUUUAUUGGGUUUAAAGGGGAGCGUAGAUGGGUUGUUAAAGUUCAGUUGUGAAAGUUUUGCGGCUCAACCCGUAAAAAUUGGCAAUUGAUACUGGC
This 543-nucleotide ribosomal RNA is filed under the name uncultured bacterium. RNAcentral's name for it is "bacterial SSU rRNA". It matches the Rfam family "Bacterial small subunit ribosomal RNA", at positions 103 to 637 of the family's 1533-position model. The record is from RNAcentral.